RNAcentral lists this transfer RNA (77 nucleotides) under Verrucomicrobiota bacterium. RNAcentral's name for it is "tRNA-Arg". It matches the Rfam family "tRNA". From Rfam's summary of the family: Transfer RNA (tRNA) molecules are approximately 80 nucleotides in length. Their secondary structure includes four short double-helical elements and three loops (D, anti-codon, and T loops). Further hydrogen bonds mediate the characteristic L-shaped molecular structure. tRNAs have two regions of fundamental functional importance: the anti-codon, which is responsible for specific mRNA codon recognition, and the 3' end, to which the tRNAs corresponding amino acid is attached (by aminoacyl-tRNA synthetases). tRNAs cope with the degeneracy of the genetic code in two manners: having more than one tRNA (with a specific anti-codon) for a particular amino acid; and 'wobble' base-pairing, i.e. permitting non-standard base-pairing at the 3rd anti-codon position. Lineage: Bacteria; Pseudomonadati; Verrucomicrobiota. The record is from RNAcentral.
GCUCCCGUAGCUCAGUUGGAUAGAGCGGGUGUUUCCUAAACACUAGGUCAGAGGUUCGAAUCCUCUCGGGAGUACCA